GGGGGUUUAGCUCAGUUGGUAGAGCGUUCGCUUAGCAUUAUUGUGUCUGAUUUGCGAAAGGUCGCGUGUUCGACUCAUGUAGUCUUCA
RNAcentral lists this transfer RNA (88 nucleotides) under Sporisorium reilianum SRZ2. Its description in RNAcentral is "tRNA-Ala for anticodon AGC". It matches the Rfam family "tRNA". Rfam says of the family: Transfer RNA (tRNA) molecules are approximately 80 nucleotides in length. Their secondary structure includes four short double-helical elements and three loops (D, anti-codon, and T loops). The record is from RNAcentral. Lineage: Eukaryota; Fungi; Basidiomycota; Ustilaginomycetes; Ustilaginales; Ustilaginaceae.